Mirounga angustirostris (Northern elephant seal) is the source of this 5504-nucleotide long non-coding RNA. RefSeq lists it as uncharacterized. NCBI's taxonomy places the organism in Eukaryota, Metazoa, Chordata, Mammalia, Carnivora, Phocidae. The record is from RefSeq and is a predicted model, not a curated record. The transcript has 2 exons.
GGGAGGGGGAGGGGCGCCGACCGGCACCGCGGCGGGGGGGUGGGGGGGGCGGCCCGCGGGAGAGCCGCCGCGAGCGGGAGUUAGAGACGCAGGCCCGGGGGCGCAGGGGGAGGGCGAGCGAGCCGAGGAACCGAGAGGGGCGGCCGGGACGCCGGAGCCACCGAAACGAGAGAGGAAAAGACAGACACUGAGAAUCGAAGGAGGCAGAGAAGUGAACAGAGAAGGAAGGACGGAAAGACAAACAGACUCGAUUCAAACGAAACACCGCCAUGGCAGCUGCCUUUGGCACCGGCCACGACCCUCUCCCCUGGUACCCGGAAAGCGUCUUCAGCUCCCCUUCUGCCCCUGGCCGGGAAGGAACCUGAGAGAAACGAAAAGGAGGGGCCCAAAACCCAGUCUAAGAAAAAGUGGUCUGCGCUGCUUCUCAAAACCUGAAAAAUCGCAUUUUUUUCUGACCAUUUGGGUUCAUUGCUGCAAGGAGUUGCCGGGACCAAGUACAACAUUUUCUGUAGGACUCAUAGCUGCUUUGGGAGCGACCAGCAACACCCCGUGGAAGGUCCAUCUGUGUCUCCCCAGGACUGGGAACUCUUCAAGGAAACUUCCAGAUUGGAGGCUUCCUUUCAGCAGCGAUGAUGGGGAGUCUUCUGAUAAAUUGCAGUGAUGUUCUAGGCUGUCCCCCCUACCCACUGACACCCACAUUGUCGGCUGCUCUUCUGGAAAACGGGGAUCAAGAGGCCGACAGAGACACAAUCUCUGUAGUCCGUGAGUUUACAGCCUUCCCCUAUGAAGUGUGGCAAACGUGAUCGCCCACCUCAAGGGGUUUUGAGAGACUCUGAUAAGAUAUCUGAUAAGUGAAAUGCUUAGCCUGGGCUCGAGCACACAGUGAAUGCCCAAUCGAUGUUUUAGUUUUUAUUAUAUGUUCCAGGGCAGGGUGGUGGUGGUGGUGGUGUUUGAAUGAGCAUCUAUGGAUCAUGAUUUCAACAACCACACUCCCAAGAUGCUGGAGAACAGGUGCUAGGGAAAUAGGGUGAGGAGCAAUGUAAGAAUUCUAGAAUGCUGGUCAUGUCCCCAUGGCGGUUGGGUUUAGCUUGGAGUGUUUUUCCACAUCACUUAUUAGGCAAAUUCUUAAAAUGAGAAGGUGAUGCAAGCUUGCAGAGGCCAAGGGAGGAACUGGAAGGAUUUCAUUUUGCUCCGCCUCCAUUUUGGAGGGCUCUCCAAACAAGGCAGCUUUGGUAGGGUUGUUUUGUUUUGUUUUGUUUCUGUUUUAUGUAUUGGGAUUACGCACCCUUUUGGGGGGUUAUUUAAAAAUAUAUAUUUUUUAAAGUUAAGUAUGGCUAAUUUAAUAGGAAACAACUGUCCUCACCCCUGCAAGCCUGAGGAGAGGAGGGGCAGGAGGUGGGAAGCUGGCUGCAGAAGCAGCCGCUCAGGCUGCUAGAGGAACAGAGAGCUCUGGGUGGGACACGGCUCUCUGAGGGGCCCACUGCCACUGAUGAGGUUCGCAGAUCCACACGACAAGCCCCCUGGGGCCACUCUCAGCUCCUGUGUUCACUGAGCAAAACACUACCUAUUCUGGGGCACCAGAAUUCCAUCUGCCUUCAGCUCUGGUCAUGAUCCCAGGGUCCUGGGAUCGAGCCUCGCAUCAGGCUCCCUGCUCCGCGGGAAGCUGCUUCUCCCUCUCCCACUCCCCCUGCUUGUGUUCCCUCUCUCGCUGUCUCUCUCUCUCUCUGUCAAAUAAAUAAAUGAAAUCUUUAAAAAAAAAUAAUUCACUAGUCAAAGAAGAAACCAUAAGAGAAAUUAGAAAAUAUACAGAACUAACAAUAAUGAAAAUGCCACAUAUAAAAACCUGAAAGAAAAUUAUAGCCUUAAAUGCUAUUUAAUGAAGUAAGCAACGAAAUUAAAAGACGGAAAAGAGAUAGGAACAUAAAUCCUGAGACUAUACGAGGAAGGAGAUAAUAAAGGUAAGAGCAGAAAAUUAAAAUAGAAAACCAGGAUACAGUAGAGAAGAUUAAAAGUCAUAAGUUGGUUCUUGAAAAAGAUAAAAUGACAAAACUUUGGAAAGAUUGAUUAGGGGAAAAAACAAAGAGAGAAGGCACAAACAUUCCAAAUUAAAAAUUAGUACAAGGAACAAAGAUACAGAUGCUACAGUUAUUUAAAUGACAGGGUAUAUUAUGGUCAACUUUUUGUCAACAUAUUUAAUAACUUAGAUGUAAUGGAUUAAUUUCCAGGAAAAAACUAAAAUUCACCAAAAUGGAUUCAAUAACAAAUACAAAAUAUAGGGGUGCCUGGGUGGCUCAGUCAGUUAAGCAUCCAGCUCUUGGUUUCAGCUCAGGUUGUGAUCUCAGGGUUGUGUGAUCGGGCCCCAGGUUGGGCUCCAUGCUUAGCAUGGAAUCUGCUUGAGAUUCUCUUUCCCUCUCCCUCUGCCCCUACCUGCCCCAAAUAAAUGAAUAAAUCUUUAAAAAAAGAAAUACAAAAUAUAAAUGGUCAUAUAACAAGUAAAUGAAAUAAAUUUAAUUACUGGUGAAAAUUUUUAAAUUAAAAAUAAGUUUAGGGGGGCGCCUGGGUGGCUCAGUUGGUUAAGCAUCUGCCUUCAGCUCAGGUCAUGAUCCCAGGGUCCCGGGAUCAAGCCCCGCAUUGGGCUCCCUCUCCCUCUGCCUGCCUCUCUGCCUACUUAUGCUCUCUAUCUCUCUGUCAAAUAAAUAAAUAAAAUCUUUGAAAAAAAAAUAAGUUUAGGGGCACCUGGAUGGCUCAGUCGGUUGUGUCUGCCUUCGGUUCAGGUCAAGAUCCCGGGGUGCUAGGAUCCAGUCCCGCAUCUGGCUCCUGCUCAGCAUGGAGUCUGCUUCUCCCUCUCCUCUACCCCUCCCCACUGCUUGUGCUCUCUCUCUCUCUCACUCUCUCAAAUAAAUAAAAUCUUAAAAGAAAAAAAAAGAACUUACUUUAAAAAAAAAAGUUUAAUUACUGGCACUGCUCCCUGAACUCUCCCAUCAGACCACACACACAAAAACAAAGACCAAAUGGUUUUUAACAGCGAGUUCUGCCAAACAUACUAGGAAAAAGUAAUUCCAAUUUUAUACAAACUAUUUUCCAGAAAGAAAAGCGAAGAGAGCUCUCCCAACUCACUUUAUUUAUUUUUUAUUUUUUUUAGAGGAGAUUUUUUUUAAAGAUUUUAUUUAUUUAUUUAUUUAUUUGAUAGAGAGAGAGACAACGAGAGAGGGAACACAAGCAGGGGUAGUGGGAGAGGGAGAAGCAGGCCUCCUGCUGAGCAGGGAGCCUGAUGUAGGGCUCAAUCCUAGGACCCUGGGAUCAUGACCUGAGCCGAAGGCAGAUGCUUAAGGACUGAGCCACCCAGGCACCCCUCUCCCAACUCAUUUUAUAAGGCUAGCAUUACCUUGAUACUAAAAUAUGCAAUCUCAUUAUGAGAAAGGAAAAUUAUACUCAUAAGCAUAGAUGCAAAAAAUCCCAAACAAAAUAUUAGCAGACUGAAUCCUGCAGUUGGGUUUAUGCUAUGAAUGCAAGGAUGGUUUAACAAAGAAAAUUGAUAAAUGUAAUUCAAUAUAUUAAGAGAUCAAAAGAUGCAAAAAAAAAGCAUUCCAAAAAAUUCUACAUUGAUUCAUGAUUAAAAACUCACAGUAAUAUGGAAAUAGAAAAGCACCUCCUUUAACUGAUGGAUGGUAUAUACACUGUAAGUGUUAAACCAAAAGGAAAACUCCUAGAAAGUAGAAUACAAGACAUAAUGGAUAGUAAGAGAAAAGAUAAGAAAAUUAGAGGAUAAUUCCAGAAAUUCCAAAAGAAGAGAAAACAGAAAACACAGUAGUAAAGAAAUUAUUAAAGAAACAUUACAAGGAAAAUCCCACAACUGAAAAUUGGAAGGACCUACAGAGCGUGGAGCACAACUGUUAAGAUACAAUAAUAAUACUUCAGAACAUCAGUUCUAAAAGUUUCCAGAAAGAAAAAAAAAAUUACAGUUGAAGGAUUAUAGUUGGAAGAACACCAAACUAUCAAUCAGUAGGAAAUGGGAUUAGACAUUUUCAGACAUAUGAUGUCUCAAAAAAUUGCCUCCCAAGUACUCUUUCUCAAGAAGCUUCUAGAAGAUAUUUCCACCAAAAAAAACAAGGGAAUAAACCAGGAGGGAGAAAAUGGGGGAAUCAACCUAACAAGAUGGUGAAGGGAAGUCCUAGUGAAAGAAUUCUGCAGCCUGUGAAAGAGCAGCCAGUCCAGAUUGGAGCAGAAGAACAGAGAUGUUGGAGGUUAAAUGAUUCAAAGGGGGGAAAAGAAAGGCAAAUGUUAACUCCAGUUGUGAAGAAAAACAAAAAGCUUGCAUGGGGACAAGAUGUAAAUCACAGCACACUACAUAGCUCAGCUCUGACUAACAUUUUUCUAAUCAUAAUCAUAGAAUCACUGAAUGUUGAUUUCAUAAAGAUCAUGAAAUAACAACCUUGGGAGGUUGGAUGGAAGGGAAGGAUAUUGGUGUGUGGGAAAGGAUGUGUGUAGUAUGUAAUUGUAUGUGUAAGAGCUAAUUUAUCAUCAUCCAGUAAAAAGUCAAUGGAUAAUAUAUACAGCUAAAAAAAUGAAGACUGUGUAUAAACUUUCUAUUUGUAAACAUGAAGAUUAAAACAGAAGUGUCCACUAAAAGAGAGUGGUUGAUUCUGGAGAGUAAAAUCAAGGAUGAGAAGGCAUGAGGUGGAGAAGACAACUGUAUGCCGAAUUAUUUUAUCUUUUCUACUAUGUGUACGUAUAACUUUGAUCAACAUAAAAAUUUAAAAGGUCUGCAUUUGUUCAGGCCAAUAAUUUUAAUUCUAGGAAUCCAUGUGAUGGAACUAUUAAUAAUGUACAUAAAUAUUAUUAUGCAUUUUUAAACUUCUCUAGUCAUAAUACUCUGUCUUUUCAUCCAUGCACUCAUGGAAGCUUCCUCCUGUGAUCCGUGAAUAGAGAAACAAAGUUUUUCUUUCCUUUCACUGGGAUGUGGGAGAUGGUGGGAGGGAAGCAAUGGGGGAAGGGCAAGUGUAGUGGGUUGAGGGAGAGGGACCUGGGGUGGAGCCUCAGAGCAGAAACAUGGGAUGAAGGCAGAGCACAUCGUUCCAUCCCUCCUCAAACAUCUGGGUGGCGGGGGGUUGUUUGGGGACCCAGGAAGGAGAAGGAUUUCUACCCAAGAGGAGUAAGGCACUUGACAGAAGAAAGAGCUGGAAGGCCCUACUGACAGAGUCAACAUCUGGAGGUUCCCUGAACUCUUCAAAGAACUUCACAGCACUGACACCUGGGUGGCUCAGUGGGUUGAGUGUCAUCAGAUUCUUGGUUUCAGCUCAGGUCAUGAUCUCAGGGUCAUGAUAUCAAGCCCCACAUGGGGCUCCAUGCUCAGCGAGGAGUCUGCUUGAGAUUCUCGCUUUCCCUCUCCCCUCCCCUCUGCUUAGGUUCACCCUCUCUCUUUCUCUCUCUCUCUCAAAUAAAUAAAUAAAAUCUUAAAAAAAAAAAAAAGAAAGAACUUUACAGCAUUUCAUGUGAGCAGGAAA